Molecule: non-coding RNA, 97 nt
Organism: Acanthosepion pharaonis
Lineage: Eukaryota; Metazoa; Mollusca; Cephalopoda; Sepiida; Sepiidae
Source: the annotation of a GenBank genome assembly
CAUUACACCGGUUCUCAUACGAUCAGCGAAGUUAGGCAACGUCGAGCCUUGUCAUUACCUAGAUGGGUGAUCGCUUCGGAAUACCAGAUGCUGUAAG